UAAUACUGAGCUUCCAUUUCCAAACACUUGUGGUUAUCCAUGAUUCCUGGCCUUAGUGAAAUCAGUGACAAAAUGCUAACUAGCUACAGUGCUACUGGAUCCAAUAUUGAUGGCAAACACUUAGGCUCCAGAUGACAUUGUGCUUGCAAGAGAGCUCAGCCCAGCAACUUAGGGACAGGGCUGACAAUUCAUGUGGCAGGAAUUGAGAUCACCUGUCAGCCUGAUGAAACAGCUGAUGAAUCAAAACUGGAAGUUUAAAGGGGAGGAUGAAGUAUUCUGUCCUCCCAUAUUACAGAAGUGGACUAAAUCCAAGGGAAAAAAGGGUUGGAGAACACAAUGCAGCACAAAGCAAGCCUUGCAAAUAUUGCAGCCUGGGAGAUUUCUCUUUGGAUGAUCAGACAGGAACAGGACAGGAUGGAAGAAAACCAGAGAGGACAAAUGAAGAGGCACUGCUGGAGUGUUACUAGAAAAAGAGAAACAGAAGAGCACAUUUAUCUACAAAAGAGAACAUGAAGAGCUGAGAAGGUGGUGGUACCUGGCAUUAAAGUCACCCAUUUAAGUCUGGG
This 566-nucleotide long non-coding RNA is filed under the name Manacus vitellinus (golden-collared manakin). RNAcentral describes it as "lncRNA (ENSMVIG00005006612.1)". The record is from RNAcentral. Lineage: Eukaryota; Metazoa; Chordata; Aves; Passeriformes; Pipridae.